CGGAGAAAGGGUUAGAGCUGGACGCAACGACUUUUGCUGGUUGGAGUGCUUCUGAACCCCGCCCUUUCUGUCAGAGAAAGGGAUUUAUUUCAAUUCAUCGGCCUCAGAUUGGUAGGACUACCCGCUGAACUUAAGCAUAUCAAUAAGCGGAGGAAAAGAAACUAACAAGGAUUCCCCUAGUAACGGCGAGUGAAGAGGGAAGAGCCCAAGAUUGAAAGCUGGCGCCUUCGGCGUCCGCAUUGUAAUCUCAAGAAGUGUUUUCCGCUUCGGACCAUGCCUAAGUCCCUUGGAAAAGGGCAUCAUAGAGGGUGAUAAUCCCGUACAUGGCAUGGAGCGCCCGAAGCUUUGUGAUACGCUUUCUAAGAGUCGAGUUGUUUGGGAAUGCAGCUCAAAAUGGGUGGUAAAUGCCAUCUAAGGCUAAAUAUUGGGGAGAGACCGAUAGCGAACAAGUACAGUGAUGGAAAGAUGAAAAGAACUUUGAAAAGAGAGUUAAACAGUACGUGAAAUUGCCAAAAGGGAAGGGUAGGAGGUCAGAGAUGCGUCGCAGGAUUCAGCCUUGCUUUUGCUUGGUGUUUUUCCUGCGUUGCAGGCCAACGUCGGUUUUGGGCACUGGAGAAGGGUAGGAGGAACGUGGCACCUCUCGGGGUGUGUUAUAGCCUCCUACUGGAUACAGCGACCGAGACCGAGGAACGCAGCGUACUCGUAAGAGCGGGCCUUUUG
This 720-nucleotide ribosomal RNA is filed under the name Pseudozyma hubeiensis. RNAcentral describes it as "eukaryotic LSU rRNA". The stretch from base 99 to 720 matches the Rfam family "Eukaryotic large subunit ribosomal RNA", at positions 1 to 705 of the family's 3401-position model. Lineage: Eukaryota; Fungi; Basidiomycota; Ustilaginomycetes; Ustilaginales; Ustilaginaceae. The record is from RNAcentral.